UACGAAGGUGGCAAGCGUUACUCGGAAUUACUAGGCGUAAAGCGCAGGUAGGCGGUUCGAUAAGUCUUUUGUGAAAGCUCCCGGCUUAACUGGGAGAGGCCAAAGGAAACUGUUGGACUAGAGUGUGGUAGAGGAUGCUGGAAUUCCCGGUGUAGCGGUGAAAUGCGUAGAGAUCGGGAGGAAUACCUAUGGCGAAAGCAGGCAUCUGGGCCAUCACUGACGCUGAGCUGCGAAAGCUAGGGGAGCAAACAGGAUUAGAUACCCUGGUAGUCCUAGCCCUAAACGAUGCUCAUUAGAUGUGGGGGGUAUCGACCCCUUCCGCGUCGUAGCUAACGCAUUAAAUGAGCCGCCUGGGGAGUACGGCCGCAAGGUUGAA
RNAcentral lists this ribosomal RNA (376 nucleotides) under uncultured bacterium. RNAcentral describes it as "bacterial SSU rRNA". It matches the Rfam family "Bacterial small subunit ribosomal RNA", at positions 524 to 898 of the family's 1533-position model. The record is from RNAcentral.